Molecule: ribosomal RNA, 450 nt
Filed under: uncultured bacterium
Lineage: Bacteria
Description: partial 16S ribosomal RNA
Rfam family: Bacterial small subunit ribosomal RNA
Source: RNAcentral
GUGAGGAAUAUUGGGCAAUGGGCGAAAGCCUGAUCCAGCAAUGCCGCGUGCAGGAAGAAGGCCUUCGGGUUGUAAACUGCUUUUGUACGGAACGAAACGGUCCGGGUUAAUACCCUGGGCUAAUGACGGUACCGUAAGAAUAAGCACCGGCUAACUACGUGCCAGCAGCCGCGGUAAUACGUAGGGUGCAAGCGUUAAUCGGAAUUACUGGGCGUAAAGCGUGCGCAGGCGGUUUCGUAAGACAGGCGUGAAAUCCCCGGGCUCAACCUGGGAAUUGCGCUUGUGACUGCAAGGCUGGAGUGCGGCAGAGGGGGAUGGAAUUCCGCGUGUAGCAGUGAAAUGCGUAGAUAUGCGGAGGAACACCGAUGGCGAAGGCAAUCCCCUGGGCCUGCACUGACGCUCAUGCACGAAAGCGUGGGGAGCAAACAGGAUUAGAAACCCUAGUAGUCC